CAGUCGCCGCGGUAAAACGAAGGGGGCUAGCGUUGUUCGGAUUUACUGGGCGUAAAGGGCGCGUAGGCGGACUGAUAAGUCAGGGGUGAAAUCCCAAGGCUCAACCUUGGAACUGCCUUUGAUACUGUUUGUCUUGAGUUCGAGAGAGGUAAGUGGAACUGCGAGUGUAGAGGUGAAAUUCGUAGAUAUUCGCAAGAACACCAGUGGCGAAGGCGGCUUACUGGCUCGAAACUGACGCUGAGGCGCGAAAGCGUGGGGAGCAAACAGGAUUAGAUACCCCCGUAGUCCCUGUCUCUUAUAC
Molecule: ribosomal RNA, 301 nt
Filed under: uncultured bacterium
Lineage: Bacteria
Description: partial 16S ribosomal RNA
Rfam family: Bacterial small subunit ribosomal RNA
Source: RNAcentral